Molecule: transfer RNA, 90 nt
Filed under: Candidatus Baldrarchaeota archaeon
Lineage: Archaea; Promethearchaeati; Candidatus Baldrarchaeota
Description: tRNA-Ser
Rfam family: tRNA
About the family: Transfer RNA (tRNA) molecules are approximately 80 nucleotides in length. Their secondary structure includes four short double-helical elements and three loops (D, anti-codon, and T loops). Further hydrogen bonds mediate the characteristic L-shaped molecular structure. tRNAs have two regions of fundamental functional importance: the anti-codon, which is responsible for specific mRNA codon recognition, and the 3' end, to which the tRNAs corresponding amino acid is attached (by aminoacyl-tRNA synthetases). tRNAs cope with the degeneracy of the genetic code in two manners: having more than one tRNA (with a specific anti-codon) for a particular amino acid; and 'wobble' base-pairing, i.e. permitting non-standard base-pairing at the 3rd anti-codon position.
Source: RNAcentral
GCCGGGGUAGCCUAGCCAGGCUAAGGCGGCGGCCUCGAGAGCCGCUGGCCCUUACGGGCCGCGUGGGUUCGAAUCCCACCCCCGGCGCCA